UGGGGAAUUUUGGACAAUGGGCGAAAGCCUGAUCCAGCCAUGCCGCGUGAGUGAAGAAGGCCUUCGGGUUGUAAAGCUCUUUUAGUCGGAAAGAAAGAGUUGCAAUGAAUAAUUGUGAUUUAUGACGGUACCGACAGAAAAAGCACCGGCUAACUACGUGCCAGCAGCCGCGGUAAUACGUAGGGUGCGAGCGUUAAUCGGAAUUACUGGGCGUAAAGGGUGCGCAGGCGGUCUUGCAAGUCAGAUGUUAAAGCCCCGGGCUUAACCUGGGAAUUGCGUUUGAAACUACAAGGCUAGAGUGCAGCGGAGGGGAGUGGAAUUCCAUGUGUAGCAGUGAAAUGCGUAGAGAUGUGGAAGAACACCGAUGGCGAAGGCAGCUCCCUGGGUUGACACUGACGCUCAUGCACGAAAGCGUGGGGAGCAAACA
RNAcentral lists this ribosomal RNA (427 nucleotides) under uncultured bacterium. Its description in RNAcentral is "bacterial SSU rRNA". It matches the Rfam family "Bacterial small subunit ribosomal RNA", at positions 355 to 774 of the family's 1533-position model. The record is from RNAcentral.